This 945-nucleotide ribosomal RNA is filed under the name uncultured archaeon. RNAcentral describes it as "bacterial SSU rRNA". It matches the Rfam family "Archaeal small subunit ribosomal RNA", at positions 1 to 922 of the family's 1478-position model. The record is from RNAcentral.
UUCCGGUUGAUCCCGCCGGAACCCCACUGCUAUCGGAUAGGACUUAAGACAUGCUAGUCAAGCGCUUUCUAGCUAUAUGAAAGUGCGGCAUACAGCUCAGUAACACGUGGCUAACCUGCCCUUGGGACGGAGACACCCCCGGGAAACUGGGGUUAAUUUCCGAUAGGUGAAAAAUUCUGGAAUGAAUUUUCGCUCAAAAGAGGUUUAUGUUAUGCUCAUAUUCUUCGCCCAGGGAUGGGGCCGCGACCGAUCAGGUUGUUGGUGAGGUAAUGGCUCACCAAGCCUUUUACCGGUACGGGCCGUGAGAGCGGGAGCCCGGAGAUGGGCACUGAGACAAGGGCCCAGGCCCUACGGGGCGCAGCAGUCGCGAAAACUUUGCAAUACACGAAAGUGUGACAAGGCUAUCCCGAGUGCCAUCCGCUGAGGAAGGCUUUUACCCAGUAUAAAUAGCUGGGAGAAUAAGGAGAGGGCAAGUCUGGUGUCAGCCGCCGCGGUAAUACCAGCUCUCCGAGUAGUGUGGAUGUUUAUUGGGCCUAAAGCAUCCGUAGCUUGCUAGGCAAGUCCCCUGUUAAAUCCACCGAUUCAAUCGAUGGUUUGCGGGGGAUACUGUUUGGCUAGGGGACGGGAGAGGUCGACGGUAUUUCCGGGGUAGGGGUGAAAUCCUAUAAUCCCGGGAGGACCACCAGUGGCGAAGGCUGUCGACUAGAACGCGCCCGACGGUGAGGGAUGAAAGCUGGGGGAGCGAACCGGAUUAGAUACCCGGGUAGUCCCAGCUGUAAACGAUGCAGGCUAGGUGUUUGGGCGGCCACGAGCCGCCCUAGUGCCGCAGGGAAGCUGUUAAGCCUGCCGCCUGGGGAGUACGGCCGCAAGGCUGAAACUUAAAGGAAUUGGCGGGGGAGCACCACAAGGGGUGAAGCUUGCGGUUUAAUUGGAGUCAACGCCGGA